RNAcentral lists this ribosomal RNA (253 nucleotides) under uncultured bacterium. Its description in RNAcentral is "partial 16S ribosomal RNA". It matches the Rfam family "Bacterial small subunit ribosomal RNA", at positions 524 to 776 of the family's 1533-position model. The record is from RNAcentral.
UACGGAGGGUGCGAGCGUUGUCCGGAAUCACUGGGCGUAAAGGGCGCGUAGGCGGCGCGGGUAGUCAUCGGUGAAAGUUCAGGGCUCAACUCUGAAUCGGCCGGUGAUACUCCCGUGCUCGAGCACUGUAGAGGCAGGUGGAAUUCCGGGUGUAGCGGUGGAAUGCGUAGAGAUCCGGAAGAACACCGGUGGCGAAGGCGGCCUGCUGGGCAGUAGCUGACGCUGAGGCGCGAAAGCGUGGGGAGCGAUCCGG